Molecule: ribosomal RNA, 230 nt
Filed under: uncultured bacterium
Lineage: Bacteria
Description: partial 16S ribosomal RNA
Rfam family: Bacterial small subunit ribosomal RNA
Source: RNAcentral
AAGGGAGCGUAGGCGGCUGAUUAAGUCAGCGGUGAAAGGUAGCAGCUUAACUGUUUUACAUGCCGUUGAUACUGGUUAGCUUGAGUUGACAGAAGGCAGAUAGAAUUCCUGGUGUAGCGGUGAAAUGCUUAGAUACCAGGAGGAAUACCGAUUGCGAAGGCAGUCUGCUGCAGUCACACUGACGCUGAGGCUCGAAGGUGCGGGGAGCAAACAGGAUUAGAUACCCGGGU